GGGGAAUAUUGCGCAAUGGCCGAAAGGCUGACGCAGCGACGCCGCGUGGGGGAUGAAGCAUUUCGGUGUGUAAACCCCUGUUGCCCGGGACGAACAAGCAGAUUUUUCUGCUCUGACGGUACCGGGUGAGGAAGCACCGGCUAACUCCGUGCCAGCAGCCGCGGGAAUACGGAGGGUGCGAGCGUUGUCCGGAAUCACUGGGCGUAAAGGGCGCGUAGGCGGUCUGCUAAGCGUGCGGUGAAAGCCCGGGGCUCAACCCCGGGUCUGCCGUGCGAACUGGUGGACUAGAGCACCGUAGAGGCAGGUGGAAUUCCGGGUGUAGCGGUGGAAUGCGUAGAGAUCCGGAAGAACACCGGUGGCGAAGGCGGCCUGCUGGGCAGUAGCUGACGCUGAGGCGCGACAGCGUGGGGAGCAAACA
RNAcentral lists this ribosomal RNA (418 nucleotides) under uncultured bacterium. RNAcentral describes it as "bacterial SSU rRNA". It matches the Rfam family "Bacterial small subunit ribosomal RNA", at positions 356 to 774 of the family's 1533-position model. The record is from RNAcentral.